RNAcentral lists this ribosomal RNA (400 nucleotides) under uncultured bacterium. RNAcentral's name for it is "partial 16S ribosomal RNA". It matches the Rfam family "Bacterial small subunit ribosomal RNA", at positions 361 to 773 of the family's 1533-position model. The record is from RNAcentral.
AUAUUGCACAAUGGGCGCAAGCCUGAUGCAGCAACGCCGCGUGAGGGACGACGGCCUUNGGGUUGNANACCUCUUUUAGUAGGGANAAAGCGAAAGUGACGGUACCUGCAGAAAAAGCACCGGCCAACUACGUGCCAGCAGCCGCGGUAAUACGUAGGAAGCAAGCGUUAUCCGGAAUUAUUGGGCGUAAACAGCUCGUAGGCGGUUUGGCUCGUCUGCGGUGAAAGCCCGGGGCUCAACCUCGGGCCUGCAGUGGGUACGGGCAGACUAGAGUGCGGUAGGGGAGAUUGGAAUUCCUGGUGUAGCGGUGGAAUGCGCAGAUAUCAGGAGGAACACCGAUGGCGAAGGCAGAUCUCUGGGCCGUAACUGACGCUGAGGAGCGAAAGCAUGGGGAGCGAAC